Molecule: long non-coding RNA, 5696 nt
Organism: Pan troglodytes (chimpanzee)
Lineage: Eukaryota; Metazoa; Chordata; Mammalia; Primates; Hominidae
Exons: 7
Source: RefSeq, a predicted model, not a curated record
AGCGGCCCGCAGAGGGCCAGGGCAGAAGCGCGAAAGGCGCGGGCUGGCCCCUUCUGGGAGCCGUAGCGGAAGAGUGUUCGUGGUCAUGUGACGCGGAAAAGGGCGGACGCGUGGCCCACGCACUGGAACGGCUCCACGAGUCUGUCACCCAGGUUGGAGUGCGGUGGUGUGAUCUUGGCUCCCUGCAACCUCCACCUCCCAGGUUCAAGCGAUUCUCCUGCCUCAGCCUCCCAAGUAGCUGGGAUUACAGGCACCCACGACCAUGAAGAAUGGCAUUUUUAAAAGAUGGCUUUCUUAAAAAAGGAUACUAAGUUGCUCUUCUACUCAUACCAAGUAGGGCUAUGAUUUUGAUUCAGCAAUUCUUCAAACCACUGAUGCUGGUUGACCAUUUGACUUUGUUUUUGAAGUAUUUUUUACAUACAGUGUACAGAACAUUUCUGCUGGAUAUUUGGAUACUGAACAGGAGUAACAAGAGGAACAGCUCCUACCUACCCCCCUGCCCCUUCCUCACAAGCCUGUUGAAGGCAAUGGUGAUGAAAGUAAAUAUUUAAAAACACUACCAUAGCUGUCCCAAAUUUCAGAAAAACAAGGUACCACUGGAACCAUUUAAUUUUGUUGGAACACAGAAUGACCAUCUUGUGAUCAGUUUUCUGCAUCUUUAAAAUACCUGGAAGGUCAUCUUUAAAUAGUACAAUCUGAUAGAAGUUUAAUACUUAGUGUAGACUUAUAUGAAUACUUCUACAUUCAUACAUUUUUGUAUACUUACACAUUUUCAUACUCAAUGCUUAAUUCAAAAAAUAUUUGAGUACCUGCAGUGUUCCCCAUGCUACAUACUGGGCUUAAACAGCCAAAAAGACACAGUCUUUGACCUCAAAAUACUUUGAUUCUUGUAAGAAAAACUGACAAAGACAAAGAGAAGGCAAUGUGAAAACUUCUACAGUUGGGAUAACCUUGGAGGUUACAGGAUGUGGACUCACUGAAAGCUUUCUGCUGGACUUGAAGCUGCAGUCUGAAGGACAGACGGGUGUUGCUUAGUGAAGGGAAAGUAGGAAGCAAAGACCCCUGGACAGAGUGUAGCAGGCACAGAGGGAGCAUGACACCUCCGGGAGAGAGCCGCAAGCACCUGGGCCCAGAUCCCAGCUUUAGCUUCAUUAGCCCUGUGAACUCUGUAUGUCAGCCUUGACAUAGAAAAAAAGAGGAUUCUAAACCUCCAUCUUAAAAGAGACUUGGAAGAAGCUGGGAUUAUAGGCACACCACCACACCUGGCCCCAGAAAAGGGAAUCCUUGACCUGCAAGAAUCGAGGAAUAUUGUUUCUGACAUGCUCAGUGGACCUACUGCUGGUAUUCUUAACCAUUUCCCUCCUAAGUGGAACUUCUUUUGAGGUUAAUGUUUAUAUACAAUUACUUUAACAUUGGAUUUGGGAAAUGGAACAACCUACUGCGGAUCUUUCUGCUACCGAUGAAAGAAGAAGGUUGAGUUUUACCUUCUAGAGCUUUACAGUGUAAACAAGCAGUAUUAGGUUUUGUUUUUACCUUCUCCCCUUUGGCCCCAUCACAGAAGCACUGGCCUUUGUCUUUACAGACACAACCCUAGGAAGAGGGAAAGAGAAAGGGUUUUGUUUAGAAACAGCUGAAUAAAUCCCAACCGGCAGGGUAAAAGCAAAUGCAUUUCUCUGUUCUUCGAGUAUUGGACACUAUCCGUUAGGAGCCAGGUGACCUUGUAGCAAUAUAUCAAUAGAAAUAUAUCAAUAUAUGAAUAGCAAUAAAGUAGAAAACUGAGAACAUGUUGCAUAAGGGAGAAAUGUCGGAUAAGAAUACAUCAUUUGUAUUGUACUUGGGAAUUUUAAGUAUUAAAGUAAUGGCCGUUUUUGCCAUUACUUUUAAUUACCUUUGUACCAACCUAAUAAUUUAUAUAUGGAAACGACAAAGCUAUCCUUUUUUUCAGGAUAAUAUCUAAUUGAAUCAUAAGAAAUUGCUGCUGUCAUAGUUAAAAAGUGGUCAAAUAUUGGCAAAUUCUUAGGUUCUACAUAAUGUUCAUAUAUGUAUAUGUGUAUAUAUGUAUAAUGUAUACAUGUAUAUGUACCUUUUAUGUAGAACACAAUGUAUUUGGUUAGUGCCAUUACUUGGACAAUUUUUUUGCCAUUACUUUCAAUGGCAAAAGCCACAAUAACUUUUGCACCAACCUUAUAUUGGUGUAGAUUAAUAUGCAAUAUAUUCCAUAGGUGAUAUUAAGGUUUUCUUUGACUUAAAUAAUGUUUAAGACUGGGAAGAGGAUCAAUACCCAUUACACAUCUUUAAAGAGAACAAACUAACUCAUUAAUGCUAGUAUCGGAAUGUUCUUUCUUUUGUUUAUUCUCAAAUAUUUUGAACAACAGAAUGUUCUUUCUUAUAAAACCAAAACCAAAACAAAAAAUUCAGCUGUGAGUUAGACAUACCUUAUCCUACCUAACUAGUCACUGUGACACACUUACCCCCCAGCCCUCACACCUAUGCACAUUCCAGCUCCAAUGGACAUCAAAUUUUUAAAACUUUUCUCUGCCAGCAGAGGAACAAAUAAAGAAAUAGUUUCAAAUAAUAGACUUAAAAUGUGUUUUGGCUGGGCACAGUGGCUCAUGCCUGUCAUCCCAGCACUUUGGGAGGCUGAGGCAGGCAGGUCACUUGAGGUCAGGAGUUUGAGACCAACCUGGCCAACCUGAUGAAACCCCAUCUCAACUAAAAAAUAUAAAAAUCAGCUGGGUGUGGUGGUGGGCUCCUGUAAUUCCAGCUACUCCAGAGGCUGAGGCAGGAGAAUGGCUUGAACCCAGGAGGUGGAGGUUGCAGUGAGCUGAGAUCAUGCCACUGCACUCCAGCCAGGGUGACAGAGCGAGACUCUGUCUCAAAAAAAAAAAUGUGUUUUGACAUAUAUGCUGCAUAUUAUAUGGUUACACAUUAAUCCUUUGCUUUAUUAUUUUUUCUUCAGGUUAAUAUUAACUGAAAAUUAAUUUGCUUUCUCCAGAAAAUAUGUUGAUGGCAGAGGCCAGGCACAUCUAGGAGAUAUACUGGAUGGUUAGUUGGGAAAAUAAAAAAAGAAAUGCCAGAUAUUCCUAAGGUGGAGAAUUCUACUUAUGCAACCAAAACAAAAAAAACCCACACAAACAAGAGUAUCUUUAACUGAAUAUCUUUCCUUAGUCUUGGGCAGUAGGCCUUGCUGUCAUUCCAGGAAGGGAGCACACAGUAAUUUUGAGACAUUCAUCAUUUGACACUCAUCAUGUUCAUAUACACUGCAGUUUAUAGGAAUGGAAAGUAACUACUGGGUAUCUACCCAGAGGAAAAUAAGUCAUUAUAUGAAAAAUACAUUUGCACACUCAUAUUUAUAACAGGACUAUUCGCAAUUGCAAAAAUUUGGAACCAGCCCAGAUACCCAUCAAUCAAUUAGUGGAUAAAGACAAUGUGGUAUAUAUACCAUGGAAUGCUACUCAGCCAUAAAAAGGAAUGAAAUAGGCUUGGCACGGGGGCUCACGCCUGCAAUCCCAGAACUUUGCGAGGCCCAGGCAGGCGGAUCACCUGAGGUCAGGAGUUCGAGACUAGCCUGGCCAACAUGGCAAAACCCCAUCUCUACUAAAAAUACAAAAAUCAGUCAGAUAUGGUGGCGGGCAUCUGUAAUCUCAGCUACUCGGGAAGCUGAGGCAGGUGAAUCGCUUGAACCUGGGAGGCGGAGAUUGCAGUGAGCUGAGAUCGCGCCAUUGCACUCAAGCCUGGGUGACAAGAGCAAAACUCCAUUUAAAAAAAAAAAAAAAGGAAUGAAAUAAUGGCAUUAGCAGCAACCUGGAUGGAAUUGGAGACCAUUAUUCUAAGUGAAGUAACUCAGGAAUAGAAAACGAAACGUCGCAUAUUCUCACUUAGCAGUGGGAGCUAAGCUAUGAGUACACAAAGGCAUAAGAAUGAUACAAUGGACUUUGGGGGAAAUGUAAAAGGGGGUGAGGGAUUAAAGACCACACACUGCGUACAGUGUACACUGUUCGGGUGAUGGGUGCAUCAAAAUCUCAGAAAUCACCACUGAAGAACUUAUCCAUGUAACCAAACACCACCUGUUCCCCAAUAACCUAUUGAAAUAAAUGAAGAGAAAGUAACCGACUGAGAAGGAAAUUCUAUAGUCUCCUCAAAGUUGCAUAUUUCAUAUUUCUAGAAGACUAACUCAUUGCAAUUUUCCUCCCAGAUAUUUGGGAUCAUGAAGUCAUGUCUUGACUAAAUGAUUUUAAUCUUGUCUUUCUGGGUUUUUAAACUUUAAUGCUGUUUUCAACCACAUCUUUUAAGUAUACUCUACUAAAACUCCAAGUGUGGAUUCCCAGACGGUAGCAUCUCCUGGAGACUUGUCAGAAAUGCAAGUCCUCAGAAAUGCAAGUCCUCAGUGCCCCCUCCCACCCCCAAGCAUGCUACUCCCUCACAGCAUCUGGAAGAGGCAGCAGGGCCUCCGAAAGGAAAGCCUGAGUCCUUCACCCAAGGGUACAAGAUACUGGGUAAGGAAGCUUAACCUGGGCAUGGACCUUGGGCUCAAGUGUGCACGGAGGAAGCCGGCACUGUUUUCAAAUGGGCAAUGAUCACCUCUGAUUCUUCUGCCUCCCAGAUGCCACACAACACCUGGAUUCUGAGCCUCUAGGGCUAGAGGGAAGAAGAGCAGAUUGGCAAUUCUCUAACCUGUGAGAAGGUGUGGGGGCCUUGAGACAGGCUUAAUUUUAUUUCUUGGAGUAAGAGUCACAUUCACCAUAUGCUACUGGAAAUCUUUUGGUCUUAGCUUAAGCAAGUGUUUGUUGAUCUUCUCCAGACUAGACUGGUCCCCUUUACCUAUACACUCCCAUUGAGCCUCUGCAGUUAGAUAUUCAAUGCCUAUUUUUUUCUGAUGUCUGUUUGUCCCAGGAGAGAAGGAAUUGUGCAGUCAUAGUCACACUGGUAUCUUUGGCAUAUAAGAUGUCCUAAACAAGUGUUUAUGGAUUGACUGGAUGAAUCAAUGGAUGGACAGCUGGUUUAUUUGCAUCCAAUUUGAAGGCAUAUGAAUUGCAUGGCUAUUUGAUGGGGUGCCAUGAUGCAGAUAUUUUCUGUAUGUAUGAAUUAUGAACAACUAUGAUCAAAAUGGCAAAAAAUGGAACCAGAGGCUUUGGCUAUUUUAACACAUGUUAAAAUUAACACAAGCCUAAUUAUUUGUUAGUUGCUUGGAUUAAAAGAAAUUCUUUUGGAAAAAGUUUAAACCCAACCCUCAGAAGAGCUGACAAACAGUACCGGAAACAGUGGUAUCUCCUCCCAUCUAAGUUCACCAACUGUUAAGUUGUCCCACCUACUCCAUCUCUCUGUCUGUCUCUCCUUCUCUCUUUCUCUCUCUCCACACACACAUACACCACUUUCCCCCAAAUCAUUCAAAAGUAGACUGCACGCAACAUGAAACUGUACCCCAGAUACUUCUGUAUGCCUCUCCCCCAUCCAAUUACAACCCUUAUCCCCAAAACUAAGAAAUCAAUGUUGAUACAGUAACUUCAGGAUACCAGUUUUUAAAUUAGAUCUUCAGCCUUAUACAAGGUCCUCAAUGACCAUAGAAAAUGAAAAACUGUUUGAUUUUUAGCAAAUCCAUCAUUUUAUGCCAGAGAUUUUGUCAGUGCUUUCACCCGCAAUAACACCUGAGGCCUGAUGUCAACAAGUGGCCUGAUGUCAACAAGUGGCAAGAAUCC